CGUCUGAUCACUAUGAGGUGAGCCAGCUAGUGAGGAGCAAGCUGCUCGCUAUAAAUUCCCCACUUCCUUGAAGCCACGUAAGAAUCCAAAAAUUAAGCCUCGGAUAAGACCUUUCCAGUAUUGUAACGACCUCGGCAAACCCUAUAAGGACUAUGAUUUGAGGGCAUGCAUUCGGUGUGUCAGGUGUGUAAACAGGCCGGCUGGUUUAAGCCCGCGUGAAAGGAAUUGACUGAACGCCACACAAGGAAUUUGCGACUUUGCGCGAGGUUUUAACGUCGUCAUCACCCGAACACAUCGACACAGAAAAUAAUAUUGCGGCUUAAGAAAGCUGUAGAACCUUCCGACUUCUACUACAGUUGGCAUGUAAAGAUGUCGAAUAUUUGGUUCGAGAGAGAUUUCGUCACCAAGCACUGCCAUUCACUCUGGCGAACGAACAAUUUGCCAAAAUCAACUUCAAAGAGAGAUUCUUCCAACGACUCGUUAGUACUUACAUAGAGUGCUGCCCACGCCAAGAUACAAAAAUCGGGCAUCCUACAUGGCGGGAUAAGACUGUUUUUCGUUGUCUGCAUACUGCUGCUAGGCAAAUAUAAAAGGUUCUGCGACUCGCGGUACUGUGCAUCACCGGAGCGCUGAGGCUCACUCCUCUGAACCUGAAAUGAUCCCCAGUUUACCGCCCAUUGGCCUAUUCGCGGAAAAUCGUGCUGCUAAAUCCGCACAUAGAUUGAAGGCAAUAGGGGAAUGCAAUUUCAUAACCUUUGGGCACAGCUUAUUGGGGCUGGAAGCACAGGAAGCACGGUCUACAUGGCACUUAGCUUUAAGUGGGAA
This is a long non-coding RNA of Rhagoletis pomonella (apple maggot), 825 nucleotides long. RefSeq lists it as uncharacterized. Lineage: Eukaryota; Metazoa; Arthropoda; Insecta; Diptera; Tephritidae. The record is from RefSeq and is a predicted model, not a curated record. The transcript has 2 exons.